This 465-nucleotide ribosomal RNA is filed under the name Vreelandella stevensii. RNAcentral's name for it is "partial 16S ribosomal RNA". It matches the Rfam family "Bacterial small subunit ribosomal RNA", at positions 338 to 795 of the family's 1533-position model. The record is from RNAcentral. Lineage: Bacteria; Pseudomonadati; Pseudomonadota; Gammaproteobacteria; Oceanospirillales; Halomonadaceae.
CCUACGGGGGGCAGCAGUGGGGAAUAUUGGACAAUGGGGGCAACCCUGAUCCAGCCAUGCCGCGUGUGUGAAGAAGGCCCUCGGGUUGUAAAGCACUUUCAGUGAGGAAGAACGCCUGGUGGUUAAUACCCAUCAGGAAAGACAUCACUCACAGAAGAAGCACCGGCUAAUUCCGUGCCAGCAGCCGCGGUAAUACGGAGGGUGCGAGCGUUAAUCGGAAUUACUGGGCGUAAAGCGCGCGUAGGUGGCUUGAUAAGCCGGUUGUGAAAGCCCCGGGCUCAACCUGGGAACGGCAUCCGGAACUGUCAAGCUAGAGUGCAGGAGAGGAAGGUAGAAUUCCCGGUGUAGCGGUGAAAUGCGUAGAGAUCGGGAGGAAUACCAGUGGCGAAGGCGGCCUUCUGGACUGACACUGACACUGAGGUGCGAAAGCGUGGGUAGCAAACAGGAUUAGAUACCCCGGUAGUC